Molecule: ribosomal RNA, 246 nt
Filed under: uncultured bacterium
Lineage: Bacteria
Description: partial 16S ribosomal RNA
Rfam family: Bacterial small subunit ribosomal RNA
Source: RNAcentral
UAGUCCAUACCGUAAACGAUGAAUACUAGGUGUAGGAGGUAUCGACUCCUUCUGUGCCGAAACGAACGCAUUAAGUAUUCCACCUGGGGAGUACGAUCGCAAGAUUAAAACUCAAAGGAAUUGACGGGGGCCCGCACAAGCAGUGGAGUAUGUGGUUUAAUUCGUCGCAACGCGAAGAACCUUACCAGGGUUUGACAUCCUCUGACGGCUCUAGAAAUAGAGAAUUCCCUUCGGGGACAGAGAGAC